UGGGUUAGUCAAGGCUGAAGGAGCAUGGAGCAACGAGCUAGCUGUCACAUCGCAUUCACAGUCAGAAGGCAAAGCCAUCAGUGCAUGCUACUUCUUAACCCUUUCUUCACUUACACAGUCCCAGUGGGAAGCAACAGAACCACCCACGACAGACAGGUGUGAAUCUUCCUCCCUCAAUUAAUGCAAUGGAGAUUAUCCCCAGAGGCCCAUGUCUCAGUGAGAACAUCAACCAGAAAUUAAGUCUAUGAUACCUCACCUGAAAAAGAAGCGGUCAGUUUUGUCUUUUCAUCUUGAGAGACUGAGCACUGACACCCCGCACAUCAGAUAUCCUGUAACUUGACAACAUAAGCCUGAACACAGAAUGAACUGACACAAUUAAUAUCCUGAAAAUGAUGGAUACCGGGGAAAUGGACACUCAGGAGUGUCACAUGCCUCUCUUCAGAGAAGAAACAUCUAUUUGGACCAACAUAUUUGGCACCAAUAGAAAAGAUGACCUCAAGUAAUCAAGUAAUCAAGCCUUCAGCCCAGAGCAACCAUGGAAAAGACAUUUAUUUUAUGUCCAUGAAUGCUUUGCCUGGGAGAAGGCAUUCGAUGCCCUGGAACUGGAAUUAUGAAUGUUGUGAACCAUCAUGUGGAUGCUGGAAACCAAAGCCAAGUCCUCUUGUAAGAGCAACAAGUACUCUAAACCAUGAGCUACCUCUCCAGCUACUUGGUCUUCUUUUGAGAUUGGGUCAAGAUGGCCUUGAACUCCCUAUAUGCAGUCAAGGGUGACCUUGAAUUCUCCUCCUCUGGUCUCCACCUCCUACGUGUUGGGAUCCCAGGCAUUAAACACCAUGUUUUCUAAGGUUC
Molecule: long non-coding RNA, 849 nt
Organism: Mesocricetus auratus (golden hamster)
Lineage: Eukaryota; Metazoa; Chordata; Mammalia; Rodentia; Cricetidae
Exons: 5
Source: RefSeq, a predicted model, not a curated record